Lutra lutra (Eurasian river otter) is the source of this 279-nucleotide long non-coding RNA. RefSeq lists it as uncharacterized. NCBI's taxonomy places the organism in Eukaryota, Metazoa, Chordata, Mammalia, Carnivora, Mustelidae. The record is from RefSeq and is a predicted model, not a curated record. The transcript is spliced from 3 exons.
GGGACCAGCUGUGUGACAUCGGGAAGUGAUUUAUCCCCCCGGUGUCCGGGUGUCCUAAUCAGUAAAAUAGAGAUGUUCAUGAUGACCUUAGAAACCAUGUGAAGAAGAGGAGCCACAAAAUGGAAGGAAAGCCACCACCAGUCAAAACAUACAUUUUGGACUUUAUAUCUCUCAAGGCUUGGUGAGAACACUUAGAGGAAUGGGAUGAAUUGUGCUAGCAGGAAGCAAAAGGGGAAAUGCCUAAACAUCAUCUGGAUCUUCUGAACUACUCUUUACAAA